UCUGACACAGUUUUAUAUGAUUGUCACACAGUAGAUUGUGUACUGAAUGAUCUAAAAAGGGGGACUCACAGGUGGCUGUUUUCAGGCCAGCCUAAAUAAGGCACCCAGCCUCCCUUUGAUGAAGACUGAAGCAAAGAGAGAGGAAAUAUUCCAUGCCUAUUACCUGUUCUCCUGGUGGAAAGGAAAAGCCUCAUGUCAGUCACUGUGCUGUGCACAACAGGUGACCGCAUAUAUCUAAGGUCCUGUAAUAUUAAU
This 255-nucleotide long non-coding RNA is filed under the name Cyanistes caeruleus (blue tit). RNAcentral describes it as "lncRNA (ENSCCEG00000019025.1)". The record is from RNAcentral. Lineage: Eukaryota; Metazoa; Chordata; Aves; Passeriformes; Paridae.